Molecule: transfer RNA, 74 nt
Filed under: compost metagenome
Description: tRNA-Pro
Rfam family: tRNA
About the family: Transfer RNA (tRNA) molecules are approximately 80 nucleotides in length. Their secondary structure includes four short double-helical elements and three loops (D, anti-codon, and T loops).
Source: RNAcentral
CUCCCGAAAGCGUUACGGUAGCGUACUUUGUUUGGAACGAAGUGGCCUAGGUUCGACUCCUAGUCGGGUGACCA